RNAcentral lists this long non-coding RNA (437 nucleotides) under Phoenix dactylifera (date palm). RNAcentral's name for it is "long non-coding RNA (PDAC_LNC015802)". The record is from RNAcentral. Lineage: Eukaryota; Viridiplantae; Streptophyta; Magnoliopsida; Arecales; Arecaceae.
AUGGGUGUGGUAGUAGAUGUUCUAGGUUUUGCAGUUUGACAGGAAAGUAAGUUUUCAAAAUAGGACUGUCAUGCAAGAGAACUAGAACAUAAUUAAAUAAACAAGCCAGGAAAAGUAGAAACCUUAUUACCUGUCGUGAAGUAGACGACCAGAAUGUAUGCUCGUGGGCUGGGGUGACGAUCGGUGCGCGGUUGCAUCUGAUGGACCCUUUCAAUUGGUUCCAACUUGGAUCUGAUCAUAGCACCUUGGCGAGUCUGCUGGGCUUGCAAAAUGGAGGGGAGUGGACCUGUUGGAGUUUGUGAGAUGGGAUUAGGCCUCUGUACCUGCUGGCUUGGGCCCGUGAGGCAGUGGGGUGGCCCGACACUUGGGCCCCAAAGGGGCCUGUCUGGAGGGAUGGGGGUGCUCAGGUGAGACUUUUUGUUUUUGGUGGGAUGUUA